AGCCUUUCUAAUGCUGGGCGAAGAGAGAGAGAAAUAUUCCCAUCCGCGCCCCUUACGUUUACAUUGUGUCAUCUCUAUCUGUUUCCCUUUUUCCCGAGCUUUCAUUUGAAAUUGAUGGGGUUUUUAGGCUGACAAGUUCGUAUUGAACUUCACAGGGCCGAGUUGAUAGUAGCCUGCCGAUGCUGAUACCAAAAGUGAGGCAAUCCGAUAUAUGGAUGGGCGAUUUUUUUUUUUAAGUCAACGUAGCUACCUCGCAACGCUUGCAUGGACUUUGUCGUGACGCAUAGUACCUGAAAUAGCACCUGAACCGCACCAACUUUUUGCUAGCAUCCGCUGGACUCACGACGGAGGAUAUUCAGCUGCCCAGAAACAAUAAGCAAAUGAGUAGCCAAUUUCGAUCAAGAAUAAAUUAGGAAGACGGUAUUCAAACGAUAUUGAAAACAAGCGUAACAUAUUUAAAAUGGUACCCUGCAGCAGC
RNAcentral lists this small RNA (478 nucleotides) under Histoplasma capsulatum var. duboisii H88. Its description in RNAcentral is "Histoplasma capsulatum H88 hypothetical RNA". The record is from RNAcentral. Lineage: Eukaryota; Fungi; Ascomycota; Eurotiomycetes; Onygenales; Ajellomycetaceae.